This is a long non-coding RNA of Mustela erminea (ermine), 374 nucleotides long. RefSeq lists it as uncharacterized. The transcript is spliced from 4 exons. NCBI's taxonomy places the organism in Eukaryota, Metazoa, Chordata, Mammalia, Carnivora, Mustelidae. The record is from RefSeq and is a predicted model, not a curated record.
GGCGACUCCAUCAAGGACCACACAAACCCCAGAAGUAGAAGAUUAGAGUGAUGAGUUUGGGAAACAUGAAAGCAAUGGCAACAGGGUUGAGUGAGCUGAUGCUUGCAAGCAUUUAGAGGAGGCCGUGCACGAUGAGGAAACAGAGACCCAGAGACGUUCAGCAACUUGCCCAGAGUCCCACAGACGGCUGUGGGGAAGGAUCCCACCAUGAGCCCUCCCAUUCGAACCCUCCUGCCCCAGGCCAGGCACAGCAGGAAGUGAGCCCUGGAGAAGGAAGAGGACACACUUCUGCUUUUCUUUGACACUGGACGCAUGUGGGUUGGGGGGUACAGCUGAUGCCUGACCUAGCAUUUGAGAUCUCCCAAGUGGGCCCA